Molecule: ribosomal RNA, 756 nt
Filed under: Globorotalia hirsuta
Lineage: Eukaryota; Foraminifera; Rotaliida; Globorotaliidae
Description: bacterial SSU rRNA
Rfam family: Eukaryotic small subunit ribosomal RNA (bases 1-503)
Source: RNAcentral
ACGCGGGGAAUCUUACCGGGUCCGGACACACUGAGGAUUGACAGGCAAAUCUAAUAGAAUCUGCUCUUAUUUCUAAUAAGUAUAGAUUUCUAUUUGUUAUAAAGAUGCUAGUCCUUUCAUGAUUAUGUGAUAGGUGGUGCAUGGCCGUUCUUAGUUCGUGGAGUGAUCUGUCUGCUUAAUUGCGUUUCACUAAGGUCCCAGUAAUCUAAGGUAUGCUCGUCUACUUAUCUCAUAUGACGCUGAUAGACCCCUCGUAAGAGCGCGUUGUCUAUUGCGUUAAUAUAUGUAACAAGUGACACAUACUGUUGGGAUCUGAAAGCAACGAACGUGACCGCAACGUCUUGUUGCCUUUCUAAUUUAAUCUAAUUCUUUUGUAAUUAGUUUAAUAACAAAGGCUAUUCUUUAAACUAGACGGACCGCUGUUUCUCUUUUAAACCAGAGGAAGGUUGCGGCAAUAACAGGUCUGUGAUGCCCUUAGAUGUUCCGGGCUGCACACGUGCUACAAUGAUCAGUACAGUGAGCAUCUCAAUUUAUUACUAACACCGCUUUAUUAAAGCAUUCAGUGUGUAGUUGUGUAAGCAGCUGCCUCUGAUAUGCGCGGUAACACCUGUCUCGAGAGUCGAUGGGUAAUCCAUUAGAAGUAAUGAUUCCUCUCUUUUAUAUAGCACACUGAUAUACAGCAUCGGUUCCCGAGGUAACCUUGUGUUACUUAUGUGCGAGCGUGAUGUCAGAGCUUAACGUUUAUUAUUCUUUAUG